Molecule: ribosomal RNA, 267 nt
Filed under: uncultured Spirochaeta sp.
Lineage: Bacteria; Pseudomonadati; Spirochaetota; Spirochaetia; Spirochaetales; Spirochaetaceae
Description: partial 16S ribosomal RNA
Rfam family: Bacterial small subunit ribosomal RNA
Source: RNAcentral
CCAGCAUUUAAGGUUAGGGGACGUCAGAUGAGACUGCCGGUGACAAACCGGAGGAAGGUGGGGACGACGUCAAGUCAUCAUGGCCCUUAUGUCCUGGGCUACACACGUGCUACAAUGGCCGGUACAGAGUGAAGCGAAACCGCGAGGUGAAGCAAAACGCAGAAAGCCGGUCUCAGUACGGAUUGGAGUCUGAAACUCGACUUCAUGAAGUUGGAAUCGCUAGUAAUCGCGCAUCAGCAUGGCGCGGUGAAUACGUUCCCGGGCCUU